RNAcentral lists this transfer RNA (71 nucleotides) under Loxodonta africana (African savanna elephant). It matches the Rfam family "tRNA". Rfam says of the family: Transfer RNA (tRNA) molecules are approximately 80 nucleotides in length. Their secondary structure includes four short double-helical elements and three loops (D, anti-codon, and T loops). Lineage: Eukaryota; Metazoa; Chordata; Mammalia; Proboscidea; Elephantidae. The record is from Rfam by way of RNAcentral.
GAAUUGGUGGUUCAGUGGUAGAAUUCUUGCCUUCUAUGUGGGAUACCCAGGUUCGAUUCCUGGCCAGUGCA